UGUGCUGCGUUUAGACAACUUUAGUGGGGACCUUUGGUCGUCACUGUAGACUUAUCGUCUCCUUCGUCUCCCGAUAUCAGAGAAACGGAACCAUCAGAUUUGAUCAUCUCAUCAAUCGAUCAACCACGAUGUAGAAUCAAUGCGGGAUUUAAUUGCGUCUGGCGAUGGAGACGACUAUAUAAGAAGGCCGGCCGAUCCUCCUCCACCGUCGAAGUGUGCUUGCUCCGCUUCUGGGAGGCGAAAAAGUCCGCCGUGGUGGAGAGCUCAUGGGCGUCGACAUGCUUUUGGUUGAUUCUCAGGGUUCAUCACGAAGGAUAAGCUAAAGGAAGUGAUGAAAUCGAUGGCAGAACUUUGGGAGAUGAUGAUCGGUAUCUACAUUGAUGGCAAUGGAGACAUCUAUAAUGGCUUCAAAACACCUCUCAGGAAUCAGCAUGGAAUGAACUAAUAGAAAUAUCCAGAGUGUUAGAUGGGACAGUUUCACAUCGAAACUUGAGCUUGAAGAUCGUCAGCCACCAUCCCUACUUUCAAAUGGAUAUCCAAAACAUAGACAAAUUCUCAGAUUAGUCGUCGACAGGUUCAGGAGGUGGUGACGGUGAGAGAUCAGCUGGAGAAGAAAGAGCAAGAUCCAGGAUUGUCGAAUCAGAGUGAAAGGAGACGGAGCGAGAAAUUCGCGACACUUAAGCAGAUGGAUUUAACUUCUUAUGAUCAGAACGAUGCUUGACAAUGAGAUUCAAGGAGAAGAAGCCUUCAGAAACUUCUCUUGCUGAAAGAGAAGAAAAGAAACAGAAAGACCAAGCUAUGCUCUUCCACAAAAACCAAGGUAGUUAAUUGCUCAUAGAGCAAAGUGUGGAAAUUCUUUAUCCGAAAAGAAGAUGACCGUGCACAAUGCAAUAUGUUUCUGUAAAAUUACAGGAACUGAAAGUAACACUAGAAACACGUAUGUGGGCUCUACGUGAGAUUUCUGAGUGUAUCUUGGUUCGUUUAUGUUUUUAAUUCAGCUUGAGUUACAAUAUGUGUUUAUUUAAGACUUUUGGUGCAAGUGAUUUUCUGUUCUCUGUUAUUAUUGUGAUGUGAUCAUCUUUGAUCAAUAAGUUAGCACAAUGUGGGUUUGAAACUUUUUCUGAAUGUAGUGUAAUAUGUUUGAAAUUGAA
Raphanus sativus (radish) is the source of this 1151-nucleotide long non-coding RNA. RefSeq lists it as uncharacterized. NCBI's taxonomy places the organism in Eukaryota, Viridiplantae, Streptophyta, Magnoliopsida, Brassicales, Brassicaceae. The record is from RefSeq and is a predicted model, not a curated record. The transcript has 7 exons.